UGAACGCUAGCGGCAGGCUUAACACAUGCAAGUCGAGGGGCAGCGCGAGUAGCAAUACUUGGCGGCGACCGGCGCAAGGUGCGUAACGCGUGAGCAACAUGCCCGUAUCAGGGGGAUAAUCCAGGGAAACUUGGUCUAAUACCCCAUAGUAAUUUUGUAAGGCAUCUUAUAAGAUUUAAAGCUUUGGUGGAUACGGAUUGGCUCGCGUGACAUUAGCUGGAUGGUAAGGUAACGGCUUACCAUGGCUAUGAUGUCUAGGGGUUCUGAGAGGAAGGUCCCCCACACUGGAACUGAGACACGGUCCAGACUCCUACGGGAGGCAGCAGUGAGGAAUAUUGGACAAUGGAUGGAAAUCUGAUCCAGCCAUGCCGCGUGAAGGAAAGAAGGUCCUAUGGAUUGUAAACUUCUUUUGUAUGGGAGCAAUAAGGCCUACGAGUAGGUUGAUGAGAGUACCAUACGAAUAAGCACCGGCUAACUCCGUGCCAGCAGCGGC
Molecule: ribosomal RNA, 493 nt
Filed under: uncultured bacterium
Lineage: Bacteria
Description: bacterial SSU rRNA
Rfam family: Bacterial small subunit ribosomal RNA
Source: RNAcentral